This 445-nucleotide ribosomal RNA is filed under the name uncultured bacterium. Its description in RNAcentral is "partial 16S ribosomal RNA". It matches the Rfam family "Bacterial small subunit ribosomal RNA", at positions 330 to 792 of the family's 1533-position model. The record is from RNAcentral.
GCCAGACUCCUACGGGAGGCAGCAGUGGGGAAUAUUGCACAAUGGGGGAAACCCUGAUGCAGCGACGCCGCGUGGGUGAAGGAGUAUUUCGGUAUGUAAAGCCCUCUCAGCAGGGAAGAUAAUGACGGUACCUGACUAAGAAGCCCCGGCUAACUACGUGCCAGCAGCCGCGGUAAUACGUAGGGGGCAAGCGUUAUCCGGAUUUACUGGGUGUAAAGGGAGCGUAGACGGCAGCGCAAGCCUGGAGUGAAAGGAUGGGGCCCAACCCCAUGACUGCUCUGGGAACUGUGCGGCUAGAGUGCCGGAGGGGUAAGCGGAAUUCCUAGUGUAGCGGUGAAAUGCGUAGAUAUUAGGAGGAACACCAGUGGCGAAGGCGGCUUACUGGACGGUAACUGACGUUGAGGCUCGAAAGCGUGGGGAGCAAACAGGAUUAGAUACCCCUGUA